UUAUAUUUGGUUAGUCGAAUAAGAAAGAAAAGUUGGCAAAUAUGAAGUUUCUAAUUGAAAUAAUUACUUGUUAUGGUGGUACGAUGACUCUUGAUUUUUAGUACUAUGGUAGUAAGCUUUAAUCAGUAAAUUUAACGUGAUAAAAGGCUGAGUUUUCUGCAGCUGAGGAAUCAUUUGAUCAUCACCAACGGUGUCAAUAGAAUCAAAAUGUCGUGUAGGAUCAAGGUCUGACUGUUGGAAAAGCAAAUUAUUUUCAUUCAAAUAAUGUAAAUUUCAUAUUAUAUAUAGAAAUUUGGAAGCCUAAUCAUUUGUUAGUCGGCUGCUUUUUUUAAUGGAUAUCAGCAUAUUGC
Diorhabda sublineata is the source of this 350-nucleotide long non-coding RNA. RefSeq lists it as uncharacterized. The record is from RefSeq and is a predicted model, not a curated record. NCBI's taxonomy places the organism in Eukaryota, Metazoa, Arthropoda, Insecta, Coleoptera, Chrysomelidae. The transcript has 3 exons.